UAAUCGUAACAAGGUCUCCGUUGGUGAACCAGCGGAGGGAUCAUUAUAGAGUUUUCUAAACUCCCAACCCAUGUGAACUUACCAUUGUUGCCUCGGCAGAAGCUGCUCGGUGCACCUUACCUUGGAACGGCCUACCCUGUAGCGCCUUACCCUGGAACGGCUUACCCUGCAACGGCUGCCGGUGGACUACCAAACUCUUGUUAUUUUAUGGUUAUCUGAGCGUCUUAUUUUAAUAAGUCAAAACUUUCAACAACGGAUCUCUUGGUUCUGGCAUCGAUGAAGAACGCAGCGAAAUGCGAUAAGUAAUGUGAAUUGCAGAAUUCAGUGAAUCAUCGAAUCUUUGAACGCACAUUGCGCCCAUUAGUAUUCUAGUGGGCAUGCCUGUUCGAGCGUCAUUUCAACCCUUAAGCCUAGCUUAGUGUUGGGAGCCUACUGCUUUUGCUAGCGGUAGCUCCUGAAAUACAACGGCGGAUCUGCGAUAUCCUCUGAGCGUAGUAAUUUUUAUCUCGCUUCUGACUGGAGUUGCAGCGUCUUUAGCCGCUAAACCCCCCCAAUUUUUAAUGGUUGACCUCGGAUCAGGUAGGAAUACCCGCUGAACUUAAGCAUAUCAAUA
Molecule: ribosomal RNA, 613 nt
Filed under: Pestalotiopsis sp. UMAS 1705
Lineage: Eukaryota; Fungi; Ascomycota; Sordariomycetes; Amphisphaeriales; Sporocadaceae
Description: eukaryotic LSU rRNA
Rfam family: 5.8S ribosomal RNA (bases 242-395)
Source: RNAcentral